UAACAGUAGAUGUCAUUGGUGAGGAC
RNAcentral lists this non-coding RNA (26 nucleotides) under Homo sapiens (human). The record is from RNAcentral. Lineage: Eukaryota; Metazoa; Chordata; Mammalia; Primates; Hominidae.